UAGGAGUGGGUCUCUGAGAUUUCUAGAC
Molecule: non-coding RNA, 28 nt
Filed under: Mus musculus (house mouse)
Lineage: Eukaryota; Metazoa; Chordata; Mammalia; Rodentia; Muridae
Source: RNAcentral